RNAcentral lists this ribosomal RNA (559 nucleotides) under uncultured bacterium. RNAcentral describes it as "bacterial SSU rRNA". It matches the Rfam family "Bacterial small subunit ribosomal RNA", at positions 338 to 915 of the family's 1533-position model. The record is from RNAcentral.
CCUACGGGAGGCAGCAGUGGGGAAUAUUGGACAAUGGGCGAAAGCCUGAUCCAGCAAUGCCGCGUGAGUGAUGAAGGCCUUCGGGUCGUAAAGCUCUUUUACCAGGGAUGAUAAUGACAGUACCUGGAGAAUAAGCUCCGGCUAACUCCGUGCCAGCAGCCGCGGUAAUACGGAGGGAGCUAGCGUUGUUCGGAAUUACUGGGCGUAAAGAGUACGUAGGCGGUUAUUCAAGUCAGAGGUGAAAGCCCGGGGCUCAACCCCGGAACUGCCUUUGAAACUAGAUAACUAGAGUCUUGGAGAGGUUAGUGGAAUUCCGAGUGUAGAGGUGAAAUUCGUAGAUAUUCGGAAGAACACCAGUGGCGAAGGCGACUAACUGGACAAGUACUGACGCUGAGGUACGAAAGCGUGGGGAGCAAACAGGAUUAGAUACCCUGGUAGUCCACGCCGUAAACGAUGAUAACUAGUUGUUCGGUCACUUGGUGACUGAGUGACGCAGCUAACGCAUUAAGUUAUCCGCCUGGGGAGUACGGUGCAAGAUUAAAACUCAAAUGAAUUGACG